This 72-nucleotide transfer RNA is filed under the name Gasterosteus aculeatus (three-spined stickleback). It matches the Rfam family "tRNA". Rfam says of the family: Transfer RNA (tRNA) molecules are approximately 80 nucleotides in length. Their secondary structure includes four short double-helical elements and three loops (D, anti-codon, and T loops). The record is from Rfam by way of RNAcentral. Lineage: Eukaryota; Metazoa; Chordata; Actinopteri; Perciformes; Gasterosteidae.
GACUCUGUGGCGCAACGGUAGCGCGUCUGAUUCCAGAUCAUAAGGCUGCGUGUUCAAAUCACGUCAGGGUCA